RNAcentral lists this ribosomal RNA (502 nucleotides) under uncultured bacterium. Its description in RNAcentral is "bacterial SSU rRNA". It matches the Rfam family "Bacterial small subunit ribosomal RNA", at positions 28 to 520 of the family's 1533-position model. The record is from RNAcentral.
GAUGAACGCUAGCGGCAGGCUUAAUACAUGCAAGUCGAGGGGGAUUAGUUUUGUAGCAAUACGAGACUAUGAGACCGGCAAACGGGUGAGGAACACGUACACAACCUUCCUUUAAGUGGGGCAUAGCCCAGGGAAACUUGGAUUAAUACCCCGUAACAUUAUGAAGUGGCAUCACUUUAUAAUUAUAGCUCCGGCGCUUAAUGAUGGGUGUGCGUCUGAUUAGGUAGUUGGCGGAGUAACAGCCCACCAAGCCUACGAUCAGUAACUGGUGUGAGAGCACGACCAGUCACACGGGCACUGAGACACGGGCCCGACUCCUACGGGAGGCAGCAGUAAGGAAUAUUGGGCAAUGGACGCAAGUCUGACCCAGCCAUGCCGCGUGGAGGAUGAAGGUCCUCUGGAUUGUAAACUUCUUUUAUUUGGGAAGAAAUUCUCGCAUUCCUGCGGGAUUGACGGUACCAGAUGAAUAAGCACCGGCUAACUCCGUGCCAGCAGCCGACGG